This 402-nucleotide ribosomal RNA is filed under the name uncultured Mycoplana sp. Its description in RNAcentral is "bacterial SSU rRNA". It matches the Rfam family "Bacterial small subunit ribosomal RNA", at positions 355 to 774 of the family's 1533-position model. Lineage: Bacteria; Pseudomonadati; Pseudomonadota; Alphaproteobacteria; Hyphomicrobiales; Rhizobiaceae. The record is from RNAcentral.
UGGGGAAUCUUGCGCAAUGGGCGAAAGCCUGACGCAGCCAUGCCGCGUGGAUGAUGAAGGUCUUAGGAUUGUAAAAUCCUUUCACCGGUGAAGAUAAUGACUGUAGCCGGAGAAGAAGCCCCGGCUAACUUCGUGCCAGCAGCCGCGGUAAUACGAAGGGGGCUAGCGUUGCUCGGAUUUACUGGGCGUAAAGGGCGCGUAGGCGGACACUUAAGUCAGGGGUGAAAUCCCGGGGCUCAACCUCGGAACUGCCUUUGAUACUGGGUGUCUUGAGUAUGAGAGAGGUGUGUGGAACUCCGAGUGUAGAGGUGAAAUUCGUAGAUAUUCGGAAGAACACCAGUGGCGAAGGCGACACACUGGCUCAUUACUGACGCUGAGGCGCGAAAGCGUGGGGAGCAAACA